GAUGAAGAACGUAGCGAAAUGCGAUAAGUAAUGUGAAUUGCAGAAUUCCGUGAAUCAUCGAAUCUUUGAACGCACAUUGCGCCCCCUGGCAUUCCGGGGGGCAUGCCUGUCCGAGCGUCAUUUCUGCCCUCCAGCCCGGCUGGGUGUUGGGCGCUGUCCCCCCGGGGACACGCCCCAAAGGCAGUGGCGGCGCCGCGUCGGGUCCUCGAGCGUAAGGGGCUUUGUCACCCGCUCGGGACGGACUCGUCGGCGCUGGUCUUCCUCCAGGCGACCCUUCGGGGCUCGUCUUCCUUCGGUUGACCUCGGAUCAGGUAGGGUUACCCGCUGAACUUAAGCAUAUCAAUAAGCGGAGGA
RNAcentral lists this unclassified non-coding RNA (354 nucleotides) under soil metagenome. Its description in RNAcentral is "partial contains 5.8S ribosomal RNA, internal transcribed spacer 2, and large subunit ribosomal RNA". The stretch from base 1 to 120 matches the Rfam family "5.8S ribosomal RNA", at positions 35 to 154 of the family's 154-position model. The record is from RNAcentral.